CGCCAGGGUACUACGAGCAUAGCUUAAAACCCAAAGGACUUGGCGGUGUCUCAGACCCACCUAGAGGAGCCUGUUCUAGAACCGAUAAUCCCCGUUAAACCUCACCACUUCUUGUUAAUCCCGCCUAUAUACCGCCGUCGCCAGCUUACCCCGUGAGGGUUUAAUAGUAAGCAAAAUGGACAAACCCCAAAACGUCAGGUCGAGGUGUAGCGCACGAAGUGGGAAGAAAUGGGCUACAUUUUCUACAACAGAAAAUAACGAAUGGUCUACUGAAACACAUACCUGAAGGAGGAUUUAGCAGUAAAAAGCAAAUAGAGAGUCCUUUUGAAUCAGGCUCUGAGACACGC
RNAcentral lists this ribosomal RNA (347 nucleotides) under Hoplisoma albolineatum. RNAcentral describes it as "Corydoras albolineatus partial 12S ribosomal RNA". It matches the Rfam family "Bacterial small subunit ribosomal RNA", at positions 870 to 1384 of the family's 1533-position model. The record is from RNAcentral. Lineage: Eukaryota; Metazoa; Chordata; Actinopteri; Siluriformes; Callichthyidae.